GUGUCAGCAGCCGCGGUAAUACAGAGACUGCAAGCGUUAUUCGGAUUCACUGGGCGUAAAGGGUGCGCAGGCGGCCAAGUGUGUGAGGCGUGAAAGCCCGGGGCUUAACCUCGGAAUUGCACCUCAAACUAUUUGGCUAGAGCAUUGGAGAGGGUAGCAGAAUUCACGGUGUAGCAGUGAAAUGCGUAGAUAUCGUGAGGAAUACCAGAGGCGAAGGCGGCUACCUGGACAAUUGCUGACGCUCAGGCACGAAAGCGUGGGGAGCAAAAGGGAUUAGAUACCCCUGUAGUCCACGCCCUAAACGGUGCACACUAGGUCUUAGAGGAUUCGAUCCCUCUAGGGCCCAAGCUAACGCGUUAAGUGUGCCGCCUGAGGACUACGGUCGCAAGACUAAAACUUAAAGGAAUUGGCGGGG
This 415-nucleotide ribosomal RNA is filed under the name uncultured prokaryote. RNAcentral's name for it is "bacterial SSU rRNA". It matches the Rfam family "Bacterial small subunit ribosomal RNA", at positions 505 to 918 of the family's 1533-position model. The record is from RNAcentral.